This 430-nucleotide ribosomal RNA is filed under the name uncultured actinomycete. RNAcentral describes it as "bacterial SSU rRNA". It matches the Rfam family "Bacterial small subunit ribosomal RNA", at positions 930 to 1497 of the family's 1533-position model. The record is from RNAcentral. Lineage: Bacteria; Bacillati; Actinomycetota; Actinomycetes; Actinomycetales.
CGGCGGAGCAUGUUGCUUAAUUCGAUGCGACGCGAAGAACCUUACCUGGGUUUGACAUGCGGGGAAAAGCCGUAGAGAUAGUGCGCCUGACAGGUGUGACGAGCGCAACCCUUGUCCUAUGUUGCCAGCGGGAUGUCAAGUCUCAUGCCCCUUAUAUCCAGGCUGCAUACAUGGCCGGUACAAGGGCUGCUAUCUCGCGAGAGUGAGCGUCCCAGAAAGCCGGUCUCAGUUCGGAUCGUAGUGCAACUCGACUACGUGAAGUCGGAGUCGCUAGUAAUCCGAAUCAGCAACGNCGGGGUGAAUGCGUUCCCGGGCCUUGUACACACCGCCGUCACACCACGAAAGUUGGUAACACCCGAAGCCGGUGGCCCAACCGCAAGGAGGGAGCCGUCGAAGUGGGAUCAGCGAUUGGGGUGAAGUCGUACAAGGU